CACAAGCGGAGGAACAUGUGGUUUAAUUCGAUGAUACGCGAGGAACCUUACCUGGGCUUAAAUGUAGAGUGCAUUGGAGGGAAACUUUCAUUUUCUUCGGAACUCUUUACAAGGUGCUGCAUGGUUGUCGUCAGCUCGUGCCGUGAGGUGUCGGGUUAAGUCCCAUAACGAGCGCAACCCUUAUCGUUAGUUGCCAGCGGGUAAAGCCGGGGACUCUAGCGAAACUGCCGGUGUAAACCGAGAGGAAGGUGGGGAUGACGUCAAAUCAGCACGGCCCUUAUGUCCAGGGCUACACACGUGUUACAAUGGCCGGUACAGAGGGCAGCUACCUGUUGACAGGAUGCGAAUCUCGAAAGCCGGUCUCAGUUCGGAUCGGAGUCUGCAACCCGACUCCGUGAAGCUGGAUUCGCUAGUAAUCGCGCAUCAGCCAUGGCGCGGUCGAAUACGUUCCCGGGCCUU
This 459-nucleotide ribosomal RNA is filed under the name uncultured Sphingobacteriales bacterium. RNAcentral describes it as "bacterial SSU rRNA". It matches the Rfam family "Bacterial small subunit ribosomal RNA", at positions 924 to 1382 of the family's 1533-position model. The record is from RNAcentral. Lineage: Bacteria; Pseudomonadati; Bacteroidota; Sphingobacteriia; Sphingobacteriales.